Molecule: long non-coding RNA, 367 nt
Filed under: Carica papaya (papaya)
Lineage: Eukaryota; Viridiplantae; Streptophyta; Magnoliopsida; Brassicales; Caricaceae
Description: long non-coding RNA (CPAP_LNC016488)
Source: RNAcentral
UAUAUCUUUUAAUAAUCCUUAGUACAUUCCUAGCUAAGUUAUGUACUAUUCAAUUAAAAUUUUAAAUCUAACUAAGAAGAAAAGCAACAAAAUACGAAAUGAAAGCUUAAACAUCCUCAAGUAACAACCCAAACUUUAGAAAAAUAUUCAUCAAAUAUAAAAUUUGGACAUGGUACCUUUAAAAAUGGUCCUAUUAUAGCUAGAAAGUAGACAAUAGAUGAUAUAAUUUUAGCGGUUGAUUCAAACUAUCGCAAACGUUGAAAUGUUGCUAGGUAAUACGUGACAAAUAUAGGAACUCGUGUCCAUUUCGUGCCCACACUAUCUAUUUCUUUACUUAAAAAAAAGAGUUGUUUAACUUUUUUAUCAA